Molecule: unclassified non-coding RNA, 344 nt
Filed under: soil metagenome
Description: partial contains 5.8S ribosomal RNA, internal transcribed spacer 2, and large subunit ribosomal RNA
Rfam family: 5.8S ribosomal RNA (bases 1-120)
Source: RNAcentral
GAUGAAGAACGCAGCGAAAUGCGAUACGUAAUGUGAACUGCAGAAUUCAGUGAAUCAUCGAGUCUUUGAACGCACAUUGCGCCCCCUGGUAUUCCGGGGGGCAUGCCUGUCCGAGCGUCAUUGCUGCCCUCAAGCACGGCUUGUGUGUUGGGCCUCCGUCCUCCUCCCGGGGGACGGGCCCGAAAGGCAGCGGCGGCACCGCGUCCGGUCCUCGAGCGUAUGGGGCUUCGUCACCCGCUCUUGUAGGCCCGGCCGGCGCUUGCCGACACAUCAAUCUUUUUUCCAGGUUGACCUCGGAUCAGGUAGGGAUACCCGCUGAACUUAAGCAUAUCAAAAGCGGAGGA